GACGAACGCUGGCGGCGUGCUUAACACAUGCAAGUCGAACGGAAAGGCCCAGCUUGCUGGGUGCUCGAGUGGCGAACGGGUGAGUAACACGUGGGUGAUCUGCCCCUGACUUUGGGAUAAGCCUGGGAAACUGGGUCUAAUACCGGAUAUGACCWKWYGKUGCAUGMCKUYUGGUGGAAAGCCUUGUGCGGUUGGGGAUGGGCCCGCGGCCUAUCAGCUUGUUGGUGGGGUAAUGGCCUACCAAGGCGACGACGGGUAGCCGACCUGAGAGGGUGAUCGGCCACACUGGGACUGAGACACGGCCCAGACUCCUACGGGAGGCAGCAGUGGGGAAUAUUGCACAAUGGGCGCAAGCCUGAUGCAGCGACGCCGCGUGAGGGAUGACGGCCUUCGGGUUGUAAACCUCUUUCACCAGGGACGAAGCKYWWGUGACGGUACCUGGAGAAGAAGCACCGGCCAACUACGUGC
Molecule: ribosomal RNA, 468 nt
Filed under: Gordonia sp. TUES-140322-a
Lineage: Bacteria; Bacillati; Actinomycetota; Actinomycetes; Mycobacteriales; Gordoniaceae
Also listed under: 1 other name
Description: partial 16S ribosomal RNA
Rfam family: Bacterial small subunit ribosomal RNA
Source: RNAcentral